UACGGAGGGGGCUAGCGUUAUUCGGAAUUAUUGGGCGUAAAGGGCGUGUAGGCGGCUUCGUGUGUCCCAUGUGAAAGCCCUCGGCUCAACCGGGGAACUGCAUGGGAAACUGCGUGGCUUGAGUCCGGGAGAGGUGAGUGGAAUUCCCAGUGUAGCGGUGAAAUGCGUAGAUAUUGGGAGGAACACCGGUGGCGAAGGCGGCUCACUGGACCGGUACUGACGCUGAGACGCGAAAGCCAGGGGAGCAAACGGG
This 253-nucleotide ribosomal RNA is filed under the name uncultured bacterium. Its description in RNAcentral is "partial 16S ribosomal RNA". It matches the Rfam family "Bacterial small subunit ribosomal RNA", at positions 524 to 776 of the family's 1533-position model. The record is from RNAcentral.